CAGUAGCCGCGGGAAUACAGAGGGUGCGAGCGUUAAUCGGAUUUACUGGGCGUAAAGCGUGCGUAGGCGGCUUCUUAAGUCGGAUGUGAAAUCCCUGAGCUUAACUUAGGAAUUGCAUUCGAUACUGGGAAGCUAGAGUAUGGGAGAGGAUGGUAGAAUUCCAGGUGUAGCGGUGAAAUGCGUAGAGAUCUGGAGGAAUACCGAUGGCGAAGGCAGCCAUCUGGCCUAAUACUGACGCUGAGGUACGAAAGCAUGGGGAGCAAACAGGAUUAGAGACCCGAGUAGUCCAUGUCUCUUAUAC
This 301-nucleotide ribosomal RNA is filed under the name uncultured bacterium. RNAcentral describes it as "partial 16S ribosomal RNA". It matches the Rfam family "Bacterial small subunit ribosomal RNA", at positions 509 to 807 of the family's 1533-position model. The record is from RNAcentral.